This 2332-nucleotide long non-coding RNA is filed under the name Nicotiana benthamiana. RNAcentral describes it as "long non-coding RNA (NBEN_LNC005768)". The record is from RNAcentral. Lineage: Eukaryota; Viridiplantae; Streptophyta; Magnoliopsida; Solanales; Solanaceae.
CAGAAAUAACAUGAACUUCGGACAGCAAUUUAAAUAGUGUCAUUAUUCAAAUUAAUUUAAUAAUCCAACAAGCCUAAUGUUUACUACAGAAAUCUAACUACAAUUAACUAUAUCUAAUAUUCAUUGUUUAAAUGAUUCUGGUUUUUGACAUAUAGUCCAAUAUAACACAAAUAUAAAUAGAACUCAACAAAUAUAAAUCAUCUGCCAAUUAUACUAUUAUGACAACUUGAAUGUAAAUUUCCAAAAGGAGAUAAACAGGAGAUUUUAUUGAGUCAUUUUUCAACUUCCAAGUUGUAGCAAUACAAGAUUCAAAUGUGUACCUGAAAUUGGAGUAGAAAUGAAAUAGAAGAAAUCAGCCACAACAGCAAAUAGCAAACAAUAGCAGUAACCAGCAAUAAUAGGCAGAAAACAACCAGUAGUCCCGCCCUCAAUUCAGAACAGAUAGAAAACCAGUAAGACCCGGGAACAAACAAACUCAAGAUGACCAAACCAAAAUAUUCAACCGCAAGCAGCUCAAAUAAUCUCAUUCGACCUUGAAAUUGAACCAGAACUUUCAAAAAAACAGUACACACUCCGGAUGCUCCCCAGCAAUCAAAUCCUAAGCUAACAGGAACAAACUAGCAACUAAACUUGAGGAUGAACUACAAAUGCCUAAUGGAAUAGUGAUUUCAUUUUUUAACAGUCCAAACAGAAGCUUGUAGCUUCAAAUCACAAACUAAUACUGACUUUUUAGAUGGCAAAAGGACCUCAUUUUAGUUUCUGAACUCUCAAAAUACUCACUCUUUCAGAUUGAAAAUUAGCCUAUUUCCACUCUAAACUCACUGAAUUCUUUGGAUUAGAAAGCUAAUAGUUUUUAACUCAACUCUAUUUCUCCUCCCCUCUUGCUUAACCCAUUCGUCCUCUUUUUUAAGUGUUGAAAUGAAUCCUUAUAUAUCUAAAACCAAGACUCUCUUCUCCCUUUCUCACUAUUAUUCCAACAUCCUUUUAUUAUUACCCUUUCUAAUUAUCCCUACCCCUUCUUUAAUUUCAGCCCCCGCAAAUAUUCCCUCCUAUGUCUCUUUUUUUACAUUUUGUCAUUAUUUACCAUUCUUAAUUCCAAAUAACCCAAAAGUAGACAAACAGAAACCCCACAGUCCCCCUUAAAUUACUCCUUGUUCCCCACUACUCAUUAGAUUAUUUAUAAUUAAUACCCCACUAACAAGACACUAUCAUUACAUCAUUAUCCUAACUAUUUUAUCCCCAAAUCACCCCUGAAAUCCCUUGAAAUUACUACCUUAAACCAAGACUCAUCGACCUGUUAUUUAAAAUCCACAAGUCUAAGCCAAAACCGAUUGCUAAAUUCCCAACUAUAACAGCUAUGAUUGUUCCUAUUCAAAUUCACACCAAUUCAAAUGCAUAAGCACAGAACCAAUCAAAAUGGUAUGAAUCAGACGGAAUUGAUAAUGCGAGCAAAAUGGAUAACAUACUAAAAAAAUAGACUACAUUCAUGCUUCCAGUUUUUAAGCGAACUAAUUGACGACAAUUAUGCAAUUGAUUAUACACAUUAUAACAUAUGACAGUUAACAACAAACGAGCAGAAUAGAAAUAGACCAACAAGGUGACUCGAGUUGUAUUGGCAGAAAACAAAGACCUUAUAAACUAACUUUUCAACGAAGUUUUCAAAUCGACUGUACAACUUAAAACAUGUUCUUGACAAUGGAUAGAAGAAAAUUUAGACCAAAUAAAAGGUUUGAUGAAGAAGGAGAAAGAUGCUGAACAAUAUCGACGAGAAAUAAAUUAAAGAAAGAUACAAAAUUAACCAUACAAACAAACAUAUAGAAAAAGAAAAGGAAAUUAGUAAAACUCACAUUUUUCGGACUUCAAACACAUUUUCUUCAGAAAUUGUUUUCCAGCUAGUAUUAUAGGCCUACUUCGUCCGAGCCUAUAAUAUUAACUAGAAAACACUUUGACUCAGACGACUCCACAUCGGUUGAACCGCUGAAACCUAGAUCCGCCAUUCGACGAGUUUUACGCGGAUUUGAACCAAACACUUGUUGGUUUAGGUAUGAGGGAGGUCAGGGGAAUGUUUGGUAUCAAUUUGGGGACGGUUGCGGUUGAUUCAUGUCUGGCUCGAAUCUUUGAUUAAAUAUUUGAGAAGUUCGGGGUUGAUUCAAGCCAAAUAGGUUGUAGAUUCGUGGAGAGGGGAGUUAGGUGGUUCAUGUGUGUUGUUUGGGUGGCCGGCGGCGUCAUUGCCGCUGGGUUUCUGGUGAAGGGGUGAGGAGGGCGGCUAGGGUUCGGUGGGUGUCUUGUUUAGUUCGUUGAGGGAGACGAAAGGGGAAGGGUUUGGGAAUGG